GACGAACGCUGGCGGCGUGCUUAACACAUGCAAGUCGAACGGAAAGGCCCUGCUUUUGUGGGGUGCUCGAGUGGCGAACGGGUGAGUAACACGUGAGUAACCUGCCCUUGACUUUGGGAUAACUUCAGGAAACUGGGGCUAAUACCGGAUAGGAGCUCCUGCUGCAUGGUGGGGGUUGGAAAGUUUCGGCGGUUGGGGAUGGACUCGCGGCUUAUCAGUUUGUUGGUGGGGUAGAGGCUUACCACGGCUUUGACGGGUAGCCGGCCUGAGAGGGUGACCGGCCACAUUGGGACUGAGAUACGGCCCAGACUCCUACGGGAGGCAGCAGUGGGGAAUAUUGCACAAUGGGCGGAAGCCUGAUGCAGCAACGCCGCGUGCGGGAUGACGGCCUUCGGGUUGUAAACCGCUUUCGCCUGUGACGAAGCGUGAGUGACGGUAAUGGGUAAAGAAGCACCGGCUAACUACGUG
This 468-nucleotide ribosomal RNA is filed under the name uncultured bacterium. Its description in RNAcentral is "partial 16S ribosomal RNA". It matches the Rfam family "Bacterial small subunit ribosomal RNA", at positions 28 to 507 of the family's 1533-position model. The record is from RNAcentral.